CAGUAGCCGCGGUAAUACGAAGGGUGCAAGCGUUAAUCGGAAUUACUGGGCGUAAAGCGUGCGUAGGCGGUGAGUUAAGUCUGCUGUGAAAUCCCCGGGCUCAACCUGGGAAUGGCAGUGGAUACUGGAUCACUAGAGUGUGGUAGAGGAUGGUGGAAUUUCCGGUGUAGCAGUGAAAUGCGUAGAGAUCGGAAGGAACACCUGUGGCGAAGGCGACUAUCUGGGCCAACACUGACACUGAGGCACGAAAGCGUGGGGAGCAAACAGGAUUAGAUACCCGUGUAGUCCCUGUCUCUUAUAC
This 301-nucleotide ribosomal RNA is filed under the name uncultured bacterium. Its description in RNAcentral is "partial 16S ribosomal RNA". It matches the Rfam family "Bacterial small subunit ribosomal RNA", at positions 509 to 807 of the family's 1533-position model. The record is from RNAcentral.